RNAcentral lists this ribosomal RNA (389 nucleotides) under uncultured eukaryote. RNAcentral's name for it is "partial 18S ribosomal RNA". It matches the Rfam family "Eukaryotic small subunit ribosomal RNA", at positions 592 to 976 of the family's 1831-position model. The record is from RNAcentral.
CAAUAGCGUAUAUUAAAGUUGUUGCAGUUAAAAAGCUCGUAGUUGGAUUUCUGGUGGGGGUUGCUAGUCCGGGGCGAAAGCCCUGUGACCGAUGCGUACCUACCGCCAUCCUCGGAGGGCCUGCGUGUGGGGGUUCGCCUUCGUGCGUAGCGCGCUCCGUCGUUUACUGUGAAAAAAUUAGAGUGUUCAAAGCAGGCUUCUAGCCGUUGAAUACAUUAGCAUGGAAUAAUGAGAUAGGACCUCGGUGGUCUAUUUUGUUGGUUUGCACGCCGAGGUAAUGAUUAAUAGGGAUAGUUGGGGGUAUUCGUAUUCUAUUGUCAGAGGUGAAAUUCUUAGAUUUAUGGAAGACGAACUACUGCGAAAGCAUUUACCAAGGAUGUUUUCAUUAA